This is a non-coding RNA of Paramuricea clavata, 342 nucleotides long. Lineage: Eukaryota; Metazoa; Cnidaria; Anthozoa; Malacalcyonacea; Plexauridae. The record is from the annotation of a GenBank genome assembly.
UUAUAGUCGGAGGUUUACGGUAUCGGCUAAACAAGCUCAAUAUCCUUUUUUCUUAAAAUUUUAUUGAAGGGAAUAAUGUAAGUAACGUUCCAUAGAAUUUUUAAAAAUUGAAGAAAAAAAUCAUUAUACGAGAAAGAUCUUUUAUGCAUAUUUUUAAAUUUUUAAAACGGCUGGAAAAAGACAAAUUUUCGGAGCUUAAUUAUUCUAAGCACGCUGUUACCAUGGUAACAGACUUUAAGCGCAAAAGUAGUAAAUUGCAACGUUCAGGAGCAUUGUCAAUGUGUCCAAUAAAUUUCGUCUUCAUGUUAUGUAAAGUGAAGAAACGGGAGUUUUCUGGAUACA